Molecule: non-coding RNA, 178 nt
Filed under: Bacillus sp. CECT 9360
Lineage: Bacteria; Bacillati; Bacillota; Bacilli; Caryophanales; Bacillaceae
Description: Lysine
Rfam family: Lysine riboswitch aptamer
About the family: Riboswitches are metabolite binding domains within certain messenger RNAs that serve as precision sensors for their corresponding targets. Allosteric rearrangement of mRNA structure is mediated by ligand binding, and this results in modulation of gene expression.
Source: RNAcentral
AGUGCUGAUAGAGGUGCGAGAUUCAUUAGUAAGAACUUGGAGAAGUAUGAGCUUCUUUGAUGGGUUCUGAAAGGGGAAAUCGCCGAAGCCAGACAGGACUCAUACCUGUUUGCAGGCUGGUCUGCCAUUGAAUAAAUGGCAGAUUGUCAAGAUUUUUUCUUGGGGAGCUAUCUCACUG